This is a long non-coding RNA of Spinacia oleracea (spinach), 1058 nucleotides long. RefSeq lists it as uncharacterized. NCBI's taxonomy places the organism in Eukaryota, Viridiplantae, Streptophyta, Magnoliopsida, Caryophyllales, Amaranthaceae. The record is from RefSeq and is a predicted model, not a curated record. The transcript is spliced from 2 exons.
CUAAUAUUUGCCAGCUCGGCUUAUCAAGAGUGGCAGUCUCGCCUCCUUUUAGAUCACCACCAGCUAAAGGGCACCCCUUUCACCUCUCCCACUUCCACUAUUCCCACCCCACCUUCCCCUCCUAUCAUGGUUCGUUGGCUUCCUCCUCCGACGGGUAUCUUCAAACUCAAUUUUGACGGCUCUAGUAAAACUUCAUCAGCAGCAGCAGGAAUUAUCACCCGCAACAGUACUGGAAAUCCGAUUUCGGCUUGUACCUACAACCUCGGUCAUACCCAGGCUUUCAUGGCAGAAGCUAUUGCCUUUCACAAAGGACUCAAAGAAGCUAGGCGUCUCAACAUUGCUCACAUUCAGAUUGAAGGUGAUAAUCUUCUGGUCAUCAACUCUGUUAAAGGAAAUUGGGCGCCUCCUUGGAACAUUCAUAACAUCAUCAAGGAUAUUAAGCAUCUCCUCGACCUCUUCGACACUUGGGAAAUCAACAGGCCCGGCCAUAGGGCGGUCUCAUCGGAUACACAGCACAGGGCCCCAAAUUUUGGGGGCCCAAAAACAAUUACACACUGUUGGGUAAAAAAAAAAAAAACUUCCCUUUCCCAUAACUUCCCCUUUCCCGCAGCUUCUUGAAUAAAUCAAACAUGGAAACCCAAAAAAACCUCUUCAAAUUCUCUUCCAAUGGUCAUUUCCAAAAAUUAGUGAAUUACAACCUUCAUCAACUACUCCACGCUUGAAUCUUCGACCACCAUGGCACCAUUCCUCUUCUCCCUCCUUCGAUUCUCACUUUCUCUCUCUUCCUUUCAAGCCUCCAGGGUUUUGAAAUCCAGUAAUUCAUCUGAGAAAUUUCGUCGAAGUUCGAUGGUGAAGGCGGUGAAUUUGGACGGAUUUGGAACUCCGAGUAGAAAUGAACGCCGGUGGAAUUUGGUCAAUUAGGUAGGGUUUAUUGAAGAUUUUGGGUUUGAUUUUUUCGAUUUGAUUGUUAUUGUUAUUGCUGUUGUAGAAUUUGUUUAAUUUAAUUGCAAAAUGGCGUGUAGUAUAUUAGUAUGUGAAUUUUGAAUUAGUAUUGUUCA